RNAcentral lists this ribosomal RNA (466 nucleotides) under uncultured bacterium. RNAcentral describes it as "partial 16S ribosomal RNA". It matches the Rfam family "Bacterial small subunit ribosomal RNA", at positions 339 to 795 of the family's 1533-position model. The record is from RNAcentral.
CUACGGGUUGCUGCAGUGGGGAAUAUUGGACAAUGGGGGAAACCCUGAUCCAGCAAUGCCGCGUGUGUGAAGAAGGCCUGCGGGUUGUAAAGCACUUUCGGUUGGGAGGACUGCUUCUAGCACUAAUAUUGUUGGAAGUUGACGUUACCUUCAGAAGAAGCACCGGCUGAACUCCGUGCCAGCAGCCGCGGUAAUACGGAGGGUGCAAGCGUUAAUCGGAAUUACUGGGCGUAAAGCGCGCGUAGGCGGCUAGAUCAGUCGGGUGUGAAAGCCCCGGGCUUAACCUGGGAACUGCAUCCGAUACUGUCUAGCUUGAGUACAGGAGAGGAGAGUGGAAUUCCACAUGUAGCGGUGACAUGCGUAGAUAUGUGGAGGAACACCAAUGGCGAAGGCAGCUCUCUGGCCUGAUACUGACGCUGAGGUGCGAAAGCGUGGGGAGCAACCAGGAUUAGAUACCCCCGUAGUC